This 1235-nucleotide ribosomal RNA is filed under the name metagenome. RNAcentral's name for it is "bacterial LSU rRNA". It matches the Rfam family "Bacterial large subunit ribosomal RNA", at positions 1564 to 2808 of the family's 2925-position model. The record is from RNAcentral.
UGAAUACGAGAUGCUACGGCGUCGAAGCAGUGUAUGUCAGACUUCCAAGAAAAGCUCGCAAUGUCAUAAAUAAAGAAUGCCUGUACCAUAACCGACACAGGUGGGUAGGUAGAGUAUACUAAGGGGCGCGAGAUAACUCUCUCUAAGGAACUCGGCAAAAUAACUCCGUAACUUCGGGAGAAGGAGUGCCUUCUUUAAGAAGGUUGCAAUAACAAGAUCCAAGCAACUGUUUAUCAAAAACACAGGUCUCCGCUAAGUCGUAAGACGAUGUAUGGGGGCUGACGCCUGCCCAGUGCCAGAAGGUUAAAGAAGUUGGUUAGCUUUUGCGAAGCUGAUGACUGAAGCCCUGGUAAACGGCGGCCGUAACUAUAACGGUCCUAAGGUAGCGAAAUUCCUUGUCGGGUAAGUUCCGACCCGCACGAAAGGCGUAAUGAUUUGGAUACUGUCUCGGAGAGGGACUCGGUGAAAUAGACUUGUCUGUGAAGAUGCGGACUACCUGCACCAGGACAGAGAGACCCUAUGAAGCUUUACUGUAACUUGAAAUUGAAAUUGGACUUUAUUUGCGCAGUAUAGGUGGAAGGCGUUGAAAGUAAUCUUGCGGGAUUAGUGGAGCCAUCAGUGAGAUACCACUCCUAUAAUGUUAGAUUUCUAACUUUGGAUCAUGAUCUGGUCAAAGAACAGUUUCAGGCGGGCAGUUUGACUGGGGCGGUCGCCUCCCAAAUGGUAACGGAGGCGUACAAAGGUUUCCUCUGAACGGGUAGAAAUCGUAUCUAGAGUGUAAAGGCAUAAGGAAGCUUGACUGUGAGACCUACAAGUCGAGCAGGGACGAAAGUCGGUCUUAGUGAUCUGACGGUGCUGAGUGGAAAGGCCGUCACUCAACGGAUAAAAGUUACUCUAGGAUAACAGGCUGAUCUCCCCCAAGAGUUCACAUCGACGGGGAGGUUUGGCACCUCGAUGUCGGCUCAUCGCAUCCUGGGGCGGUAGUACGUCCCAAGGGCUGGGCUGUUCGCCCAUGAAAGCGGUACGCGAGCUGGGUUCAGAACGUCGUGAGACAGUUCGGUCCAUAUCCGGUGUAGGCGUUAGAAUAUUGAGAGGAGCCUUCUUUAGUACGAGAGGACCGAGAAGGACAUACCUCUGGUGUACCAGUUAUCGUGCCAACGGUAAACGCUGGGUAGCUAUGUAUGGAGAGGAUAACCGCUGAAAGCAUCUAAGUGGGAAGCCCACCUCAAGAUGAG